CAGUCGCCGCGGGAAUACGUAGGGUGCAAGCGUUAAUCGGAAUUACUGGGCGUAAAGCGUGCGCAGGCGGUGUUGUAAGACUGAUGUGAAAUCCCCGGGCUCAACCUGGGAACUGCAUUGGUGACUGCAACGCUGGAGUGCGGCAGAGGGGGAUGGAAUUCCGCGUGUAGCAGUGAAAUGCGUAGAUAUGCGGAGGAACACCGAUGGCGAAGGCAAUCCCCUGGGCCUGCACUGACGCUCAUGCACGAAAGCGUGGGGAGCAAACAGGAUUAGAUACCCCCGUAGUCCCUGUCUCUUAUAC
This 301-nucleotide ribosomal RNA is filed under the name uncultured bacterium. RNAcentral's name for it is "partial 16S ribosomal RNA". It matches the Rfam family "Bacterial small subunit ribosomal RNA", at positions 509 to 807 of the family's 1533-position model. The record is from RNAcentral.